Molecule: ribosomal RNA, 274 nt
Filed under: uncultured bacterium
Lineage: Bacteria
Description: partial 16S ribosomal RNA
Rfam family: Bacterial small subunit ribosomal RNA
Source: RNAcentral
AUACAGAGGGUGCGAGCGUUAAUCGGAAUUACUGGGCGUAAAGCGCGCGUAGGCGGCUACUUAAGUCAGAUGUGAAAUCCCCGGGCUCAACCUGGGAACUGCAUCUGAUACUGGGUAGCUAGAGUUUAGGAGAGGGAAGUAGAAUUUCAGGUGUAGCGGUGAAAUGCAUAGAGAUCUGAAGGAAUACCAGUGGCGAAGGCGGCUUCCUGGCCUAAAUCUGACGCUGAGGUGCGAAAGCGUGGGUAGCAAACGGGAUUAGAAACCCUAGUAGUCC